This 327-nucleotide ribosomal RNA is filed under the name uncultured eukaryote. Its description in RNAcentral is "partial 18S ribosomal RNA". It matches the Rfam family "Eukaryotic small subunit ribosomal RNA", at positions 1470 to 1796 of the family's 1831-position model. The record is from RNAcentral.
CCCUUAGAUGUUCUGGGCCGCACACGCGCUACACUGAAGGAGGCAGCGUGUACUCCUGGAUCGAAAGAUUUGGGUAACCCGCGAAUCUCCUUCGUGCUAGGGAUUGAGGUUUGCAAUUAUCCUUCAUGAACGAGGAAUUCCCAGUAAGUGCAAGUCAUAAGCUUGCGCUGACUACGUCCCUGCCCUUUGUACACACCGCCCGUCGCUACUACCGAUUGAAUGAUUUAGUGAGGACUUCGGACUGGGACCGAUGCGGCUUUCGGGCUGCGUCGGUAUUCUGGAAAGAUGUCCAAACUGUAGCAUUUAGAGGAAGUAAAAGUCGUAACA